Molecule: ribosomal RNA, 253 nt
Filed under: uncultured bacterium
Lineage: Bacteria
Description: partial 16S ribosomal RNA
Rfam family: Bacterial small subunit ribosomal RNA
Source: RNAcentral
UACGGAGGGUGCAAGCGUUAAUCGGAAUUACUGGGCGUAAAGCGUACGCAGGCGGUUUUUUAAGUCAGAUGUGAAAUCCCCGGGCUCAACCUGGGAACUGCAUUUGGAACUGGCAAGCUAGAGUAUCGUAGAGGGGGGUAGAAUUCCAGGUGUAGCGGUGAAAUGCGUAGAGAUCUGGAGGAAUACCGGUGGCGAAGGCGACCCCCUGGACGAAUACUGACGCUCAGGUGCGAAAGCGUGGGGAGCAAACAGG